AUUGAACGCUGGCGGCAUGCUUUACACAUGCAAGUCGAACGGUAACAGGCCUUCGGGUGCUGACGAGUGGCGAACGGGUGAGUAAUGCAUCGGAACGUGCCCAGAGGUGGGGGAUAACGCAGCGAAAGCUGUGCUAAUACCGCAUGUGAUCUGAGGAUGAAAGCGGGGGACCAGGCAGCAAUGUUUGGCCUCGCGCCUUUGGAGCGGCCGAUGUCAGAUUAGGUAGUUGGUGGGGUAAAGGCCUACCAAGCCGACGAUCUGUAGCUGGUCUGAGAGGACGACCAGCCACACUGGGACUGAGACACGGCCCAGACUCCUACGGGAGGCAGCAGUGGGGAAUUUUGGACAAUGGGCGCAAGCCUGAUCCAGCAAUGCCGCGUGCGGGAAGAAGGCCUUCGGGCUGUAAACCGCUUUUGUACGGAACGAAAAGGCUCUGGCUAAUACCUGGGGCUGAUGACGGUACCGGAAGAAUAAGCACCGGCUAACUACGUG
RNAcentral lists this ribosomal RNA (492 nucleotides) under uncultured bacterium. RNAcentral's name for it is "partial 16S ribosomal RNA". It matches the Rfam family "Bacterial small subunit ribosomal RNA", at positions 29 to 507 of the family's 1533-position model. The record is from RNAcentral.